AGGUAGAACCAAUAGUUCUGAACUGCCCAUUCUCUUAAAUGUUCUCGUAUUGUUUUAUUGAAUGGUUCUUGUGUUGUUUUAUUGAAUUGUCUAGUGGUUUUGUUAUGGCCAGGUAUUACAUUAGAACUUCUUUUGUUGCCUUCCCUGCAGGUACUUUUGAUAUAAAAGUAGUCAGAAAUAGACAAAUGUGCAUGAUCCGUAAUUUUAUUGAGAAUUAAUAUGUAUACUCUUUUUUUUUUCUUGUAAUAAUCUUGUUAUUACUAUAGUGUGAUACAUUUAAUCAGACAGUAGACAUCCAACUGGCCUGAUUUAUUACCAUAAUAGAAUGAAUCUGAGAGGCAUGACCCAAGUAGAUGGAUCAUACCCUUGGAUGAUUAUCUUCUGUCACGAUAGUCAUUAAUUGAACUUGAUAAGUUUCUACAUCAGUCACAUAAGCAAUGGGGGACAUAAGAUUUAUACUUUGGAGGGAGUUAGUGUAAUUGUUUUGGAAAAUAAAAAUUAUUUUCUAACUGAUCUUUAUGGGUUUCUAGUGAUUAAAUAUUCUAUCACUGAAUGUUCCUAUAUAUUUUUCUUCAUGUUUAUGUCACUGUUUUGUUUGUAAAUCUCAACGUCAAUUUCACCCUGGGAAUGUAUAUAUGAUCAUAUAUACAAAAUAGAUAUUUUAAUACUGCAUACUGUACAGAAGCCUUUUACAGUUUUAUCAUGAUUCUUGGGACAUUCAAUGCCAUGAUGGUUGCAUUUUCAUCUGUUAUAAACUAUAACCAUUAGCCCCAGUUUCCAUAUCGUAAUAAUUUCUGUAUCGUGGAAUAUUUACCCUAAGUUCCUUCUAUUUUAGGUUGGUCACCUGUUGAUCUUGGGCCUAGGUCAUUGGAUGAUAUAAAGUCUUUACUUAUGAAAUGCAAGGUAAAAACAAUAAUUAGUCCUCUAUGCAGAAGGUAAAAACAGUUAAGUUUUUGUAAAGUAUCUUAAGGCGUGGCCAUUCUUUUAAGUUUGUCCAAAUCAGUACCUUGUUUUUUAAGUAAUCCAACAGUUUUUGUGGGGGAUGGUAUAGUCUUGGUGCAUUAGGUGAUUCUUCACUAGUAGCAUUUAUCUACUUCACAUUGAUAUAACUCUAGUUUGUCUACAAACCUAGUAUGCUGGACGUGUAUAUGAGAUAGAAAAAUAUAUUCCUUUCUAUGUUGCUCCUUCACAAUUGUUUCCUUUGCAUUAUGUGCAAUUCAUGUAAUUUGUGUCACACAGGAUGCAAGAUAUAAAAGGUUUAAGUUUUCUUAUCUGUUAUUAGUAUUAACUACAGGCUAAAAUUGAGGAAAAUUUUUCUGUGCAAUAUUUAUCGUGAAGUAAAUUAAUCAUAAUGGGUAAAUUACACUCAACUCAACUCAAUAUUCACCUUUGCUACGAAUGCACUCAUGUAUCUAGUCUUUCUUAUAAUGAAUUCAAUUUUAUUGCACUUUUUCUCAUGCUUAGACCUAUCUGAUACUUUCCACUUGAUGAAUUGCAGAAAAUUAUAUGGAUUGGUCCACUGAAAUUCAAAUUAUCAAGUCCAUGUAUAAAUGAAGCAUCUAAAUUGGCUAGAAUGCUUGAUGAACUAAGUCAACAAAAUUGCGAUGUGACUGUUGUAGGGAAGAUGGCAUACAAAACCAUAAUGAUGGAAUCAAGUUCUCUUUCGGCUUAUAGCAUAAUUGAGAGUGGCUCAGUUGCAUGGGAGUUUUUCAAAGGAAGGAAGCUUCCUGGAAUCAUGGCCUUAGAUAGAGCACAUCCAUUCAAGAUUGAUUGGUGUUCUGCUUACAAUGAUCCAGCUCAACCAUUGAUAGUUGAUAUCGGAAGUGGUACUGGACUUUUUCUUCUGGGAAUGGCUAGAAGAAGAAAAGAUUUAAAUUUUCUGGGAUUAGAGAUCAACAAAAAGGUCUUUUGCAUUCUGUCCAGAUUCUUUUAGAGAAGCCCUCCUCUCUACAAAAGUUUUUGACUUCUGUUGUUUCCUAUUUUAUAGCUUGUAACACGUUGUCUGGAUUCCGUUCAUCAGUCUGGCAUUUUCAAUGGGUAUGGUUCUUGCCUCCCACUCUGAAAAUUUUAUGCACUGCUGAAAAAAAGUAACUUGUUAUCACUAAUAUACUUUCACAUUCAGUUUAUUUAACAUCAUCUUCCCAGGAAAUCUUUUUAAAUCAUUGCCCAUUUAAAUUAGAUUAACUUUUUGCUUGAGCCUUUACUUCAUCAUAUCUGAACAUAUUGCUGGGCCUUAUUCUCAUUCUAGCAGAUUAAAAAUAUUUAUUAUUACCACUGGAGUAUGAACUUGUGUUUUGGUUUAUCAUCUUAUGUGUUUCUUUCAUUGCAUGUAUAGGCACUUCAUUGCAACAAAUGCAACAACAACAUUUCGUUCCAUAGUUUCUAGUUAUCCAGGACAGUUAGUCCUUGUCUCAAUACAGGUAGAGGACACAAUAUUCUGUCAACUUCGUGUGCUUGUGAUUCUUGUCACCUGAUUAUUUGUCUACGAAGAAUAAAAAUUGAAUUUCUGAACUAGCUAAUUGAUAUUCUCCUUGUGCAACAUUUUCUCCACAUUGAAAUCAUCAUAACAAUAACUUGUAUUUUGGGAUGGACAUCAUUACCAGUUGCCAUUGUAGUGAUUGUGAUUAUUUACUGCUGCCAAACUUCAAUGGCAUUUACUGUUACUAGUUACUACCUCUGUUACCAACCUCAGCCACUUUUUGCAAGUAAUUGUGGAUUGUUCGUGGGUUCUCACAGCUGCUGAACAUUAUCUUCCCUCUACUAAAUUUCAUAUCAUGAUAUGUCGUUUGAGAAUUUACCAUUGAUCACCAUGCUAUAUGCUGUUUUUAUAAUCUAUCCUGCAAUUAUUAUAAUUCUCCUCAACUGGGGGAAUUAACCAGGAAAAAAUCAUAGAAAGUAAUUCAUUCUUCCUUUCCUUCCAUUUGGCACCAAUCAUUGUAAGGAUUGCAAGCUGCCAAAAAAAAUUACAGAAACAUUUUUGUUUCUUUUUCUUUUGACAGAAUUUGAAUAUAUGGGGGUUUUGUUGAUUUCAUAAUUUUUCCUGGAUCAGUUUGGUAUCUUCCAACUUAGUUCACCUUGCAACAAAUUCAUAAUUAGUAUUCUCUCUUCUGAUGAGAACGUUGGGAAAAUGGUGAAUGAAAGAGGUAGGAAAGAAAGUAACUUUUGCCCAAUUAGUUUCCUUGAAUAUGACGUUGAAGGUGAGAAAUCAAAGUAGAUAAAUGGGCACGUAGUUUCAUUCCUUAUUCUGUCUCAACUGGCAAGUUUAGGUACUUUUAACUGAUCUCUAUUGUCUUGUUCAGUGCCCAAAUCCUGAUUUCAACAACCCAGAACAUAGAUGGAGAAUGUUGCAACAGUCAUUGAUUGAAGCUGUGAUAGAUCUGCUUGCACAAGAUGGGAAAGUAAAUACAAAAUUGUCAUGGCUUUGCUUCUGUACAGGUUAACUCAUCGUUAACCAUGAGCUCAGAUCAUUAUGAAUGCAAAACUGCUUGUUCAGGUUAUUUACAGAUUAUUUCUAUAUUACUCUGGGUUUUUCUGCAAUCUGAUGUAGAAGCAGUUGCAGUUAGAAUGAAAAAAUUAUCCCUGAAAUAUGGCAAGGGUAGGCUCACUCUUUUGGAUGACUGAUACAAUACAAAAAUUGAUAAAGAAGCAUGGCUCGAGGAGAAUCCUUUUGGAGUGAGA
RNAcentral lists this unclassified non-coding RNA (3678 nucleotides) under Hevea brasiliensis (rubber tree). Lineage: Eukaryota; Viridiplantae; Streptophyta; Magnoliopsida; Malpighiales; Euphorbiaceae. The record is from RNAcentral.